UGUGUAGGCGGUUCUUUAAGUUUGGUGUGAAAUCUCCCGGCUUAACCGGGAGGGUGCGCCGAAUACUGAGGGACUAGAGUACGGGAGAGGAAAGUGGAAUUCCUGGUGUAGCGGUGAAAUGCGUAGAUAUCAGGAGGAACACCGGUGGUGUAGACGGCUUUCUGGACCGUAACUGACGCUGAAACACGAAAGCGUGGGUAGCAAACAGGAUUAGAUACCCUGGUAGUCCACGCCCUAAACGAUGCAUAUUUGGUGUGGGCAGUUCAUUCUGUCCGUGCCGGAGCUAACGCGUUAAAUAUGCCGCCUGGGGAGUACAGUCGCAAGGCUGAA
Molecule: ribosomal RNA, 330 nt
Filed under: uncultured bacterium
Lineage: Bacteria
Description: bacterial SSU rRNA
Rfam family: Bacterial small subunit ribosomal RNA
Source: RNAcentral